UACGUAGGCAGCAAGCGUUGUUCGGAGUUACUGGGCGUAAAGGGUGUGUAGGCGGUUUUUUAAGUUUGGUGUGAAAUCUCCCGGCUCAACUGGGAGGGUGCGCCGAAUACUGAAAGACUAGAGUGCGGGAGAGGAAAGUGGAAUUCCCGGUGUAGCGGUGAAAUGCGUAGAUAUCAGGAGGAACACCGGUGGUGUAGACGGCUUUCUGGACCGUAACUGACGCUGAGACACGAAAGCGUGGGUAGCAAACAGG
This 253-nucleotide ribosomal RNA is filed under the name uncultured bacterium. Its description in RNAcentral is "partial 16S ribosomal RNA". It matches the Rfam family "Bacterial small subunit ribosomal RNA", at positions 524 to 776 of the family's 1533-position model. The record is from RNAcentral.